CCCUCAACUUAAUGAGAAGCUAUGAUUUAGUUAUCACUAUAAGUAUCUUAUUUUAGGGACCUAUUAAUUUAGAAGAUUUAAUUUAUGAAUUAAGAGAAGAGAAGAGAAGAGAAGAGAUCAACCAGUAAACCACAAUCCUCCCAUUAACUUCACUAAGUCAAUAAAAUGGAUUAAGAUCAUGCCAGUCGAAAUAGCACCC
RNAcentral lists this long non-coding RNA (199 nucleotides) under Elaeis guineensis (African oil palm). RNAcentral describes it as "long non-coding RNA (EGUI_LNC053764)". Lineage: Eukaryota; Viridiplantae; Streptophyta; Magnoliopsida; Arecales; Arecaceae. The record is from RNAcentral.